This 505-nucleotide ribosomal RNA is filed under the name uncultured bacterium. RNAcentral's name for it is "partial 16S ribosomal RNA". It matches the Rfam family "Bacterial small subunit ribosomal RNA", at positions 28 to 507 of the family's 1533-position model. The record is from RNAcentral.
GACGAACGCUGGCGGCGUGCCUAAUACAUGCAAGUAGAACGCACAGUUUAUACCGUAGCUUGCUACACCAUAGACUGUGAGUUGCGAACGGGUGAGUAACGCGUAGGUAACCUGCCUGGUAGCGGGGGAUAACUAUUGGAAACGAUAGCUAAUACCGCAUAAUAUUGAUUAUUGCAUGAUAAUUGAUUGAAAGAUGCUAUUGCAUCACUACCAGAUGGACCUGCGUUGUAUUAGCUAGUAGGUGAGGUAACGGCUCACCUAGGCGACGAUACAUAGCCGACCUGAGAGGGUGAUCGGCCACACUGGGACUGAGACACGGCCCAGACUCCUACGGGAGGCAGCAGUAGGGAAUCUUCGGCAAUGGACGAAAGUCUGACCGAGCAACGCCGCGUGAGUGAAGAAGGUUUUCGGAUCGUAAAGCUCUGUUGUAAGAGAAGAACGGGUGCGAGAGUGGAAAGUUCACACUGUGACGGUAUCUUACCAGAAAGGGACGGCUAACUACGUG